RNAcentral lists this transfer RNA (84 nucleotides) under Serratia marcescens. RNAcentral describes it as "tRNA-Leu". It matches the Rfam family "tRNA". From Rfam's summary of the family: Transfer RNA (tRNA) molecules are approximately 80 nucleotides in length. Their secondary structure includes four short double-helical elements and three loops (D, anti-codon, and T loops). The record is from RNAcentral. RNAcentral also lists the same sequence under 14 other names. Lineage: Bacteria; Pseudomonadati; Pseudomonadota; Gammaproteobacteria; Enterobacterales; Yersiniaceae.
GCCGGUGUGUUGGAAUUGGCAGACGAGACGGACUCAAAAUCCGUUGGUGGUGACACCGUAUGGGUUCGACCCCCAUCACCGGCA